RNAcentral lists this ribosomal RNA (118 nucleotides) under Pelobates cultripes (western spadefoot toad). Lineage: Eukaryota; Metazoa; Chordata; Amphibia; Anura; Pelobatidae. The record is from RNAcentral.
GCCUAUGGCCAUACCACCUGAACACGCCCGAUCUCGUCUGAUCUCGGAAGCUAAGCAGGGUCGGGCCUGGUUAGUACUUGGAUGGGAGACCGCCUGGGAAUACCAGGUGUUGUAGGCU